UGGGGAAUAUUGGACAAUGGACCAAGAGUCUGAUCCAGCAAUUCUGUGUGCACGAUGAAGUUUUUCGGAAUGUAAAGUGCUUUCAGUUGGGAAGAAAGAAAUGACGGUACCAACAGAAGAAGUGACGGCUAAAUACGUGCCAGCAGCCGCGGUAAUACGUAUGUCACGAGCGUUAUCCGGAUUUAUUGGGCGUAAAGCGCGUCUAGGUGGUUAUAUAAGUCUGAUGUGAAAAUGCAGGGCUCAACUCUGUAUUGCGUUGGAAACUGUAUAACUAGAGUACUGGAGAGGUAAGCGGAACUACAAGUGUAGAGGUGAAAUUCGUAGAUAUUUGUAGGAAUGCCGAUGGGGAAGCCAGCUUACUAGACAGAUACUGACGCUGAAGCGCGAAAGCGUGGGUAGCAAAUAGGAUUAGAUACCCUGGUAGUCCACGCCGUAACGAUGAUUACUAGGUGUUGGGGGUCGAACCUCAGCGCCCAAGCAAACGCGAUAAGUAAUCCGCCUGGGGAGUACGUACGCAAGUAU
Molecule: ribosomal RNA, 522 nt
Filed under: uncultured bacterium
Lineage: Bacteria
Description: bacterial SSU rRNA
Rfam family: Bacterial small subunit ribosomal RNA
Source: RNAcentral